ACGUAGGUGGCAAGCGUUGUCCGGAUUUAUUGGGCGUAAAGAGCGUGUAGGCGGCCAGAUAGGUCCUCUGUGAAAACUCGAGGCUUAACCUCGAGAGGUCGGUGGAAACCAUCUGGCUAGAGUCCGGAAGAGGAGAGUGGAAUUCCUGGUGUAGCGGUGAAAUGCGCAGAUAUCAGGAAGAACACCCGUGGCGAAGGCGGCUCUCUGGGACGGUACUGACGCUGAGACGCGAAAGCGUGGGGAGCGAACAGG
Molecule: ribosomal RNA, 252 nt
Filed under: uncultured prokaryote
Description: partial 16S ribosomal RNA
Rfam family: Bacterial small subunit ribosomal RNA
Source: RNAcentral